Molecule: ribosomal RNA, 497 nt
Filed under: uncultured bacterium
Lineage: Bacteria
Description: partial 16S ribosomal RNA
Rfam family: Bacterial small subunit ribosomal RNA
Source: RNAcentral
GAUGAACGCUGGCGGCGUGCCUAAUACAUGCAAGUCGAGCGAACAGACGAGGAGCUUGCUCCUCUGACGUUAGCGGCGGACGGGUGAGUAACACGUGGAUAACCUACCUAUAAGACUGGGAUAACUUCGGGAAACCGGAGCUAAUACCGGAUAAUAUAUUGAACCGCAUGGUUCAAUAGUGAAAGACGGUUUUGCUGUCACUUAUAGAUGGAUCCGCGCCGCAUUAGUUAGUUGGUAAGGUAACGGCUUACCAAGGCAACGAUGCGUAGCCGACCUGAGAGGGUGAUCGGCCACACUGGAACUGAGACACGGUCCAGACUCCUACGGGAGGCAGCAGUAGGGAAUCUUCCGCAAUGGGCGAAAGCCUGACGGAGCAACGCCGCGUGAGUGAUGAAGGUCUUCGGAUCGUAAAACUCUGUUAUUAGGGAAGAACAAAUGUGUAAGUAACUAUGCACGUCUUGACGGUACCUAAAGAAAAAGCCACGGCUAACUACGUG